UACGUAUGGAGCAAGCGUUAUCCGGAUUCACUGGGUGUAAAGGGAGCGUAGGCGGCCCGACAAGUCUGAUGUGAAAGCCCGCGGCUCAACCGCGGCACUGCAUUGGAAACUGUUAGGCUGGAGUACCGGAGGGGCAAGUGGAAUUCCUAGUGUAGCGGUGAAAUGCAUAGAUAUUAGGAGGAACACCAGUGGCGAAGGCGGCUUGCUGGACGGUAACUGACGCUGAGGCUCGAAAGCGUGGGGAG
RNAcentral lists this ribosomal RNA (245 nucleotides) under uncultured Lachnospiraceae bacterium. RNAcentral's name for it is "partial 16S ribosomal RNA". It matches the Rfam family "Bacterial small subunit ribosomal RNA", at positions 524 to 768 of the family's 1533-position model. Lineage: Bacteria; Bacillati; Bacillota; Clostridia; Lachnospirales; Lachnospiraceae. The record is from RNAcentral.